Molecule: transfer RNA, 990 nt
Filed under: Melitaea cinxia (Glanville fritillary)
Lineage: Eukaryota; Metazoa; Arthropoda; Insecta; Lepidoptera; Nymphalidae
Description: misc RNA ENSMCXG00005011469.1
Rfam family: tRNA (bases 853-925)
Source: RNAcentral
AAACUUUUUUGAAUAUCAUAUCAAAAAUUGACCGCUCCAGCGGGAUUCGAACCCGCGUCUUCGACAUACCGUGUCGACGCUCUAGCCAAUUAAGCUAUGGAACGAUAUACUCGCCAGAGCGAAACUUUUGAUAUGAUGAUUUUUACUUUCGGUUUAAGCGAACCGUGGCGCCGUCUAUAGUGAGUUCUUUACAGAGACUCGUAACUAUUCAAAGUUUCAUAUUACAAUGAAAAUCUUUGACAGGAGACGACACCAUGCUAUUUUUAAUAUGUACGAUUUUUAUUUUUGUGUUACCCACAAUUAGGAAUUCUAAACAUUUUUGAAUAUCAUAUCAAAAAUUGACCGCUCCAGCGGGAUUCGAACCCGCGUCUUCGACAUACCGUGUCGACGCUCUAGCCAAUUAAGCUAUGGAACGAUAUACUCGCCAGAGCGAAACUUUUGAUAUGAUGAUUUUUACUUUCGGUUUAAGCGAACCGUGGCGCCGUCUAUAGUGAGUUCUUUACAGAGACUCGUAACUAUUCAAAGUUUCAUAUUACAAUGAAAAUCUUUGACAGGAGACGACACCAUGCUAUUUUUAAUAUGUACGAUUUUUAUUUUUGUGUUACCCACAAUUAGGAAUUCUAAACAUUUUUGAAUAUCAUAUCAAAAAUUGACCGCUCCAGCGGGAUUCGAACCCGCGUCUUCGACAUACCGUGUCGACGCUCUAGCCAAUUAAGCUAUGGAACGAUAUACUCGCCAGAGCGAAACUUUUGAUAUGAUGAUUUUUACUUUCGGUUUAAGCGAACCGUGGCGCCGUCUAUAGUGAGUUCUUUACAUUAUCAUCAUAUCAAAAGUUUCGCUCUGGCGAUAUAUCGUUCCAUAGCUUAAUUGGCUAGAGCGUCGACACGGUAUGUCGAAGACGCGGGUUCGAAUCCCGCUGGAGCGGUCAAUUUUUGAUAUGAUAUUCAAAAAUGUUUAGAAUUCCUAAUUGUGGGUAACACAAAAAUAAAA